ACGCUGGCGGCAGGCUUAACACAUGCAAGUCGAGCGCCCCGCAAGGGGAGCGGCAGACGGGAGAGUAACGCGUGGGAAUCUACCUUUUGCUACGGAAUAACUCAGGGAAACUUGUGCUAAUACCGUAUGUGCCCUUCGGGGGAAAGAUUUAUCGGCAAAGGAUGAGCCCGCGUUGGAUUAGCUAGUUGGUGAGGUAAAGGCUCACCAAGGCGACGAUCCAUAGCUGGUCUGAGAGGAUGAUCAGCCACACUGGGACUGAGACACGGCCCAGACUCCUACGGGAGGCAGCAGUGGGGAAUAUUGGACAAUGGGCGCAAGCCUGAUCCAGCCAUGCCGCGUGAGUGAUGAAGGUCUUAGGAUUGUAAAGCUCUUUCACCGGUGAAGAUAAUGACGGUAACCGGAGAAGAAGCCCCGGCUAACUUCGUGCCAGCAGCCGCGGUAAUACGAAGGGGGCUAGCGUUGUUCGGAUUUACUGGGCGUAAAGCGCACGUAGGCGGACUUUUAAGUCAGGGGUGAAAUCCCGGGGCUCAACCCCGGAACUGCCUUUGAUACUGGAAGUCUUGAGUAUGGUAGAGGUGAGUGGAAUUCCGAGUGUAGAGGUGAAAUUCGUAGAUAUUCGGAGGAACACCAGUGGCGAAGGCGGCUCACUGGACCAUUACUGACGCUGAGGUGCGAAAGCGUGGGGAGCAAAC
Molecule: ribosomal RNA, 692 nt
Filed under: uncultured bacterium
Lineage: Bacteria
Description: bacterial SSU rRNA
Rfam family: Bacterial small subunit ribosomal RNA
Source: RNAcentral